CGGAUGUAGCCAAGNGGAUCAAGGCA
Molecule: transfer RNA, 26 nt
Filed under: Viburnum acerifolium (mapleleaf viburnum)
Lineage: Eukaryota; Viridiplantae; Streptophyta; Magnoliopsida; Dipsacales; Adoxaceae
Description: partial tRNA-His
Source: RNAcentral